Molecule: ribosomal RNA, 253 nt
Filed under: uncultured bacterium
Lineage: Bacteria
Description: partial 16S ribosomal RNA
Rfam family: Bacterial small subunit ribosomal RNA
Source: RNAcentral
UACGUAGGCUCCAAGCGUUGUUCGGAAUUACUGGGCGUAAAGCGAGUGUAGGCGGUCCGCCAAGUCGACUGUGAAAUCUCCCGGCUUAACCGGGAGGGUGCGGUCGAAACUGACGGACUGGAGUUCGGGAGAGGAGAGUGGAAUUCCUGGUGUAGCGGUGAAAUGCGUAGAUAUCAGGAGGAACACCGGAGGUGAAGACGGCUCUCUGGACCGAAACUGACGCUGAGACUCGAAAGCGUGGGGAGCAAACAGG